This is a long non-coding RNA of Mytilus californianus (California mussel), 714 nucleotides long. RefSeq lists it as uncharacterized. Lineage: Eukaryota; Metazoa; Mollusca; Bivalvia; Mytilida; Mytilidae. The transcript has 3 exons. The record is from RefSeq and is a predicted model, not a curated record.
ACAGACAGAGGAAGAUAUUCAAGUGUUUUCCAUUAUUUGUGACUUUAAUAUGACAUAUCUCACUUUUACAUUUGAAUGAAACGGUGUAAUGCUCCAAACAGUUACUAUAUGAAACACAGAGACACUUUACAUCGUCCUGACUUUUUGAUUGGCAAUUGGUAUCUUAAUUAUUUCUUUUAAUAGUUGCACAUAAUGACUAUCGUGAAUCAUUUUUAAACGUUUUGAAGGUUAGAAUGUUGAUAUUAUAUUAGUUGAUUGGUCCUUAUAUCUUGCAUGCUGAAAAAACCAUUUGAAUGAUUAUAUAGUGUUUUGUUAAUCAGCAAAAAAAUAUUUUAAGGUAAGAUGGGACGGGAAAAAAAUAGGCCUCUAUAAAAUUGGAUAUAAAGGACGUUUUGAAGUGAAGUUAAUUGAUAAUUAUUCAAACGAAGACCAUGAAAUAGGGUGUGUGGAAACGGAUAGGUAUGGUCAUAGUGAAGAAAUGUUUAAAGAAGCAACAACUGGAAAAUACCAAAAUGCUCCAUAUUCAAUGAAUGCUAAUAACCGCGGUCCAGAAGACUAUGUUAUUCCAAUAUAUUCCGAAACAUCAAUAAGUGCUAUUUGGGAACACCAGAAAGGUUCACAAUGGACGAAAUAUCCAUCCGGAGUAAAUUUAAGGAUUGAAAAGGCAUAUCAAAGGAAUAAAACAGGAAAAACCAUCAUCCAAAUAGACCACAC